Molecule: non-coding RNA, 98 nt
Organism: Knufia fluminis
Lineage: Eukaryota; Fungi; Ascomycota; Eurotiomycetes; Chaetothyriales; Trichomeriaceae
Source: the annotation of a GenBank genome assembly
GGCACGUGGUCUAGGGGUAUGAUUUUCGCUUCGCAUUGGCUCUAGGAGCCUAGAAUGCCUGUGAAAGGUCGCGGGUUCAAUUCCCGUAGGUUGAAUCA